RNAcentral lists this ribosomal RNA (497 nucleotides) under uncultured bacterium. RNAcentral's name for it is "partial 16S ribosomal RNA". It matches the Rfam family "Bacterial small subunit ribosomal RNA", at positions 28 to 507 of the family's 1533-position model. The record is from RNAcentral.
GAUGAACGCUGGCGGCGUGCCUAAUACAUGCAAGUCGAGCGAACAGACGAGGAGCUUGCUCCUCUGACGUUAGCGGCGGACGGGUGAGUAACACGUGGAUAACCUACCUAUAAGACUGGGAUAACUUCGGGAAACCGGAGCUAAUACCGGAUAAUAUAUUGAACCGCAUGGUUCAAUAGUGAAAGACGGUUUUGCUGUCACUUAUAGAUGGAUCCGCGCCGCAUUAGCUAGUUGGGAAGGUAACGGCUUACCAAGGCGACGAUGCGUAGCCGACCUGUGAGGGUGGUCGGCCACCUGGGAACGUAGACAGGGACCAUAGUCCUACGGGAGGGAGCAGUAGGGAAUCGUACGCAAUGGGCGAAAGCCUGACGGAGCAACGGCGCGUGAGUGAUGAAGGUCUUCGGAUCGUAAAACUCUGUUAUUAGGGAAGAACAAAUGUGUAAGUAACUAUGCACGUCUUGACGGUACCUAAUCAGAAAGCCACGGCUAACUACGUG